RNAcentral lists this ribosomal RNA (253 nucleotides) under uncultured bacterium. RNAcentral describes it as "partial 16S ribosomal RNA". It matches the Rfam family "Bacterial small subunit ribosomal RNA", at positions 524 to 776 of the family's 1533-position model. The record is from RNAcentral.
UACGUAGGGUGCAAGCGUUAAUCGGAAUUACUGGGCGUAAAGCGUGCGCAGGCGGCUGUGCAAGACCGAUGUGAAAUCCCCGGGCUCAACCUGGGAAUGGCAUUGGUGACUGCACGGCUAGAGUGUGUCAGAGGGGGGUAGAAUUCCACGUGUAGCAGUGAAAUGCGUAGAGAUGUGGAGGAAUACCGAUGGCGAAGGCAGCCCCCUGGGAUAACACUGACGCUCAUGCACGAAAGCGUGGGGAGCAAACAGG